UAUAAUGAUGUAGUACAAACGGAAGCUCUUUCAUGCAGUCAUGGCUGAAGCUACUAGGCCACUGCCUUGUCACGAUGGAUCCCCUGAAGGAGUGAUAUUAACACUAUGCGAGGCCACUGCCUUGUCAUGAUGGAUCCCCUGAAGGAGUGAUAUUAACACCAUAUGCAAGGGUUGACUCUGCAUAGUAACACAGGGUAAUCAAGCAGCAGCAAGGAUGUAAAGAGACCAUAAACUGGGCUUUGCUGUAUGAUGAAACCACUGAAGGAGGUUACACUCUUAAUACCAGGGAUGCUUACCCUGACCUAGGGUAUUACACAAAGAAUAUUGUGUAACAGUCAUGGCGAUGUUCAGUGCACCCACUCACAUAACUUUUCUCUUCACUGGCCUCAGUUUGGCUAAAUUGUGGUGCUCCCUGCAUAUAUGGAAAACUUAAAGGUAAAACUGGUAGUGACUGCAAGAAGGCUGGAAACCUUUAGAGCCCAUAAAGCGAUCAGUAUUCAUUACUUCAAGGGAUAAAGUGCAGCUGAAGAGGACCCAUCCCUGAAUUGUUACAUUACUGGAAUGACUUCUGCUCCCUUGGAAGUUUGGCUUCAAUAUGUGCCCUGUUCAUCAUAGCAAGAGACUGGGUGGAAAUGUCAUUGCUCUUCAGUUUCUCUUGGGUAUCUGUGUUUUCUGUUUUGAGUAAUUUUAAGAACUGGAAAUCCAAGCUCAAGAGUGCCUUGAUUUGCUGCUUUUAUACUUGGUUGUAGCAACACUGCAUAGAAUAGUAGUUUUACUGUUUCUUGCUCGCUGCCUUUGGAGUGUUUCUUGUCUUUGAUCAUUGUGAAAUCUCAUAUUCUGGUCUGGAGACACUGCCUGUUUAACUGUAAUAAAUGUGAAUCUUUAUAAA
This is a long non-coding RNA of Xenopus tropicalis (tropical clawed frog), 889 nucleotides long. RefSeq lists it as uncharacterized. The record is from RefSeq and is a predicted model, not a curated record. NCBI's taxonomy places the organism in Eukaryota, Metazoa, Chordata, Amphibia, Anura, Pipidae. The transcript is spliced from 9 exons.